AAAUGAAAGAAUAUUUUACACUUACUUAAUAUUUAGGAACUUAAUUACAGGAAUUUAAUACUCUUGACUUUAAAAUAAUUUAAAUAUAAAUGUGAGUACCCUAACUUCCGGUUUACGAUAUAAUAUUAAGGAAUGACACAACGUGGCGCUGCACCAAUGAACAAAUGUAUUCAUUAACCGACCAAAAUAUUUUAACUUCAUGUUCUCGAUAUUUUAUAGUAGUUGUGUAAAAAUUUAUUAAAUAUGUAGAAUGGGAAAAUGGAGGAAGGCGGAAGGGUCAAAGUUCGACAGACAAAUGCUAAUGGCAAUGACAAUGAAGAAAUGAGAAAAUGGCCGGCAUUGUGUGACGCGAAUCCGUAUAUAGUGGACCUUUUGAAUAAUCUUUUUAAAAAAAAAGAAACAAUCAAUGAAUCAUCACCAACUACUUAAAAUUCAGAUUAACGAUUUUUUUUAUUAUAAGCUUUUAAAUGUCAUUAAAAUAACCAGUGAAAAUAAAUCAUACACAAAUUA
This is a long non-coding RNA of Vespa crabro (European hornet), 510 nucleotides long. RefSeq lists it as uncharacterized. The transcript is spliced from 2 exons. The record is from RefSeq and is a predicted model, not a curated record. NCBI's taxonomy places the organism in Eukaryota, Metazoa, Arthropoda, Insecta, Hymenoptera, Vespidae.